RNAcentral lists this transfer RNA (71 nucleotides) under Stegodyphus mimosarum. It matches the Rfam family "tRNA". Rfam says of the family: Transfer RNA (tRNA) molecules are approximately 80 nucleotides in length. Their secondary structure includes four short double-helical elements and three loops (D, anti-codon, and T loops). Lineage: Eukaryota; Metazoa; Arthropoda; Arachnida; Araneae; Eresidae. The record is from Rfam by way of RNAcentral.
GCCUUCGUGGUGUAACGGUAACACACUCGAUGCGUAUUCGAGAGAUCCAGGUUCGAGUCCCAGUGAGGGAA